AGAGUUUGAUUAUGGCUCAGGAUGAACGCUGGCGGCGUGCUUAACACAUGCAAGUCGAACGAAGCAUUUCUAACUCUUCGGAGGAGGAAAUGACUGAGUGGCGGACGGGUGAGUAACGCGUGGGUAACCUGCCUUAUACAGGGGGAUAACAGUUAGAAAUGACUGCUAAUACCGCAUAACCCGCUAGUACCGCAUGGUACAGACGGAAAAGAUUUAUCGGUAUAAGAUGGACCCGCGUCUGAUUAGCUAGUUGGUGAGGUAAUGGCUCACCAAGGCGACGAUCAGUAGCCGGCUUGAGAGAGUGAACGGCCACAUUGGGACUGAGACACGGCCCAAACUCCUACGGGAGGCAGCAGUGGGGAAUAUUGCACAAUGGGGGAAACCCUGAUGCAGCAACGCCGCGUGAAGGAAGAAGUAUUUCGGUAUGUAAACUUCUAUCAGCAGGAAAGAAAAUGACGGUACCUGACUAAGAAGCCCCGGCUAACUACGUGCCAGCCGCAGC
Molecule: ribosomal RNA, 502 nt
Filed under: uncultured bacterium
Lineage: Bacteria
Description: bacterial SSU rRNA
Rfam family: Bacterial small subunit ribosomal RNA
Source: RNAcentral